Molecule: regulatory RNA element, 110 nt
Organism: Nocardioides sp. JS614
Lineage: Bacteria; Bacillati; Actinomycetota; Actinomycetes; Propionibacteriales; Nocardioidaceae
Rfam family: TPP riboswitch aptamer (THI element)
About the family: Vitamin B(1) in its active form thiamin pyrophosphate (TPP) is an essential coenzyme that is synthesised by coupling of pyrimidine and thiazole moieties in bacteria. The previously detected thiamin-regulatory element, thi box was extended, resulting in a new, highly conserved RNA secondary structure, the THI element, which is widely distributed in eubacteria and also occurs in some archaea. Analysis of operon structures identified a large number of new candidate thiamin-regulated genes, mostly transporters, in various prokaryotic organisms.
Source: Rfam
GGCAUUCCACACGGGAGCCCGAGGCAUCGGGCUGAGAUGGGGCUGGAGCCGCUCCGACCGUCGAACCUGAUCCGGGUAAUGCCGGCGAAGGAAGUGAGGAGCGACGUGUU